RNAcentral lists this ribosomal RNA (253 nucleotides) under uncultured bacterium. Its description in RNAcentral is "partial 16S ribosomal RNA". It matches the Rfam family "Bacterial small subunit ribosomal RNA", at positions 524 to 776 of the family's 1533-position model. The record is from RNAcentral.
UACGUAGGGUGCAAGCGUUAAUCGGAAUUACUGGGCGUAAAGCGUACGCAGGCGGCUAUGUAAGACAGGUGUGAAAUCCCCGGGCCUAACCUGGGAACUGCAUUUGUGACUGCAUAGCUAGAGUCCGUCAGAGGGGGGUGGAAUUCCUGGUGUAGCGGUGAAAUGCGCAGAUAUCAGGAAGAACACCUAUGGCGAAGGCAGCUCUCUGGGACGGUACUGACGCUGAGACGCGAAAGCGUGGGGAGCGAACAGG